Passer montanus (Eurasian tree sparrow) is the source of this 449-nucleotide long non-coding RNA. RefSeq lists it as uncharacterized. The transcript has 3 exons. NCBI's taxonomy places the organism in Eukaryota, Metazoa, Chordata, Aves, Passeriformes, Passeridae. The record is from RefSeq and is a predicted model, not a curated record.
CUCUAUUAAAUUUGAGAGAGAACAUGAAGCUGGGUUGCAGCUGUCUUGUUGAUUUUGUAUUUCCUCUCAUUUCAGUGCCUUGCCGUGGAGCCGAGAAUUAAAUGGCUAAUAAGGCAUCUGCUCCAAGCAGGAGUCUCAAGAUUGUGACAAAAGCAUCUUACAUCAGGGCUGAUAACACACAUUUUUAAAGAUGAGGUGGAGGCACUGAUACACUCAACUGCCAUUACAGGCCAAAUGGACCUUGGCUCAUGGCUGUCAGAAAUGGGGAUGCUUUGGCUGUGUGUUGAAAAACCCAUUAGCAACAGAGCAACGAUCAUCCCAUAUGUGAAAAACGGCUGCUGUUAACUCCACCAGACCAGUGGCUGUCCAUGUGUUCUCAGUCAAGAGUCUAUGUGCCGCAGUUGUGUUCUGGGAUAUGGAGGCAAGUACCACAUGUCUAAGACAGGUAC